Molecule: ribosomal RNA, 309 nt
Filed under: uncultured bacterium
Lineage: Bacteria
Description: bacterial SSU rRNA
Rfam family: Bacterial small subunit ribosomal RNA
Source: RNAcentral
GUGCCAGCAGCGGCGGUAAUACGGAGGGGGCUAGCGUUGUUCGGAAUUACUGGGCGUAAAGCGCAUGUAGGCGGACCAGAAAGUUGGGGGUGAAAUCCCGGGGCUCAACCCCGGAACGGCCUUCAAAACUAUUGGUCUGGAGUUCGAGAGAGGUGAGUGGAAUUCCGAGUGUAGAGGUGAAAUUCGUAGAUAUUCGGAGGAACACCAGUGGCGAAGGCGGCUCACUGGCUCGAUACUGACGCUGAGAUGCGAAAGCGUGGGAGCAAACAGGAUUAGAUACCCUGGUAGUCCACGCCGUAAACGAUGAAU